This 1541-nucleotide long non-coding RNA is filed under the name Equus caballus (horse). RNAcentral's name for it is "lncRNA (ENSECAG00000051673.1)". Lineage: Eukaryota; Metazoa; Chordata; Mammalia; Perissodactyla; Equidae. The record is from RNAcentral.
CCCUUAGAACCAUCCUAGCAACAUGUUAGCACUGUCUCUCAGGGUGUUAAAUCCUGUGUCUCAGGAGAAUGCCCCCAUAUUGAUAACCUCUCCCUCAUCCAAUUUAAGGUUCAACUUCUCCCUACCUUACAUGGAGCCUCAGAAUUUGCAGAAUGCAAUCUUAUUUAUAUUCUUCCGGCUUCUGUCAGUACAUAUUUGUUAUCUCCUACCGCUCCUUUAAGUACAGUCCCUUCCCUCCCUUAUCAGGUUGGGAUUUUGGGGUAGAUCCAGAUAGGGAGGCACAUUUCUUGUAAGGCAGAGAUUUCUGCAUCAUCUUCAGGCAAGGGAAGGAGUAAUCUUUAACAAGAAGGAGUAGGCAACUUAUAAAGGCCCAGAAGUACAGGCGAAAUGGAAGGUUCAAGAUUUUCAGGUAGAUACACCCAGUUAUUGCCAUCCCACAUCUUCCAUUUCCAUUCCCUCUCAAUCAGGACUCUAACCUUGGUGUAGCCAAUUUGCAAUGGCAGGCAUUCAACUUCUCUGGAACUCCGCAAAUCUUACAAUUAAGUCCUGGGCCUAAGCCUGAUUCUCAGUUCUUUCUGCCCUCUGGCUGCAGGAGAUGAUAGUCUCUUUACACAUUGCCAAGAAGUCCUUGACUUUCAUACUCAGCCUUUAUUGUCUUUCUCCAGAGUAUUUAUUACUCUCAACAAUAAAAAUCCUAUUACUUCUCAAACGCCUGAUACAUUGUGCUCCCCUACUCCAUGCAUUCCUUUCCUCAGCCAAAACAUCCCAAUUUGCACUGGUGAAAAUUUUAGCAAUCCCAUUACUAUCACUUGCUAGGGGUUAACAAUGUCUACCUACCACUAGUGAUGGUAUCCUUACUGCCAACAGGCUGGUGAGUGAUCCAACUCCCAAAUCCCAUUUUAGAGUUUACUUUCUUGGGUCUCUCCUAGCACCAAUGAUCCUUAAUCAGGUUUCCCAGGAAGCACUGAGAUUUGAAUCCUGAAAGUUUAUUGGAGGGUGCUCUCAGGAUCAUUGUGGAAAAGCAAAGGAAGCAGGACUGAGGCAGAAGAAGUUAGGCUGCAAUGUGUUCACAAGAAAGCCUCAGUCUAGUCCAUGCAGAACACUGGAGCUAGGAUGGCCCUGCAGAAUUGCAGAAUUGUCCCUAUUUGGGGCCAGGGUAACUGGACCUUAUUUAGAUCCCUACACCACUCAGUCUUUGAAUGAGGGCUGCCUUGGAGAAGAAGACGUGAUUUUAAAGUUUUUAUUUUUCCUUCUCCCCAAAGCCCCCCAGUACAUAGAUUUUUAGUUGUGGGUCCUUCUAGUUGUGGCACGUGGGAUGCUGCCCCAGCAUGGCCUGAUGAGUGGCGCUAGGUCUGUGCCCAGGAUCCAAACUGGCGAAACCCUGGGCCACUGAAGCAGAGCGUGUGAACCCAACCACUCGGCCACAGGGCCUGCCCCUAAGAGGGCGUGAUUUUUUUUUUUUUAAAGACUUUAUUUUUUCCUUUUUCUCCCCAAAGCCCCCCGGUACAUAGUUGUAUAUUCUUUGUUGUGGGUCCUUCUAG